CCUACGGGAGGCAGCAGUGGGGAAUAUUGCACAAUGGGCGAAAGCCUGACGCAGCUACUCCGCGUGUGGGAUGACGGUCUUCGGAUCGUAAACCUCUGUCAGCAAGGAAGAAAGGUCACUUUGCUAAUCAGCAAUGAAUUGACGGUACCUUAAGAAGAAGCACCGGCUAACUCCGUGCCAGCAGCCGCGGUAAUACGGAGGGUGCGAGCGUUAAUCGGAAUUACUGGGCGUAAAGGGCGUGUAGGCGGUAUGUCAAGUCAGAGGUGAAAUCCCCGCGCUUAACGUGGGAACGGCCUUGGAAACUGGCAGACUGGAGUGUGUGAGAGGAUAGUGGAAUUCCAGGUGUAGGAGUGAAAUGCGUAGAUAUCUGGAGGAACAUCAGUGGCGAAGGCGACUAUCUGGCACAUAACUGACGCUGAGAAGCGAAAGCGUGGGUAGCAAACAGGAUUAGAUACCCCGGUAGUC
Molecule: ribosomal RNA, 465 nt
Filed under: uncultured bacterium
Lineage: Bacteria
Description: partial 16S ribosomal RNA
Rfam family: Bacterial small subunit ribosomal RNA
Source: RNAcentral